GAAACUGCGGAUCUUGGGGUCGGCAGGCGUCGAGGGUACUCCGGGGGUAGCGGUGAAAUGCUAUAAUCCCUGGGGGACCGCCAGUGGCGAAAGCGCUCGGCGGGGCCGAACCCGACGGUGAGGGACGAAGGCCAGGGGAGCGAACCGGAUUAGAUACCCGGGUAGUCCUGGCUGUAAAGUAUGUGGGCUAGGUGCUGGGCGUUCCUCGAGAGUGCUCGGUGCCGAAGGGAAGCCGUUAAGCCCACCGCCUGGGAAGUACGGCCGCAAGGUUGAAACUUAAAGAAAUUGGCGGGGGAGCACCACAAGGGGUGGAGCCUGCGGUUUAAUUGGAUUCAACGCCGGACAACUCACCGGGGGCGACGGCAGAUUGAAGGCCAAGUUGACGACUUUGCUAGACUCGCCGAGAGGUGGUGCAUGGCCGCCGUCAGCUCGUAUCGUGAGACGUCCUGUCAAGUCAGGUAACGAGCGAGACCCUCGCCUUUAGUUGCCAGCAGGUCCUUCGGGAUGCUGGGCACUCUAAAGGGACCGCUGUCGAUAAGGCAGAGGAAGGAGAGGGCGACGGUAGGUCCGUAUGCCCCGAAUCCCCCGGGCAACACGCGGGCUACAAUGCGCAGGACAGAGGGCUGCGACCCCGAAAGGGGGAGCCGAUCCCUAAACCUGCGCCUAGUUCGGAUCGAGGGCUGCAACUCGCCCUCGUGAAGCUGGAAUCCCUAGUAACCGUGUGUCAUUAUC
RNAcentral lists this ribosomal RNA (732 nucleotides) under uncultured candidate division MSBL1 archaeon. RNAcentral's name for it is "bacterial SSU rRNA". It matches the Rfam family "Archaeal small subunit ribosomal RNA", at positions 580 to 1312 of the family's 1478-position model. The record is from RNAcentral. Lineage: Archaea; Methanobacteriati; Methanobacteriota.